UCAGGAUGAACGCUGGCGGUAUGCGUAACACAUGCAAGUCGAACGAAGUUUUUCGGAACUUAGUGGCGGACGGGUGAGUAACGCGUGAGAAUCUGCCUUAAGGAUUGGGACAACAGUGGGAAACCGCUGCUAAUACCAAAUAUGCCUUUUAGUGAAACGGGUAAAACCGCCUUAAGAUGAGCUCGCGUCUGAUUAGCUAGUAGGUGUGGUAAGAGCGCACCUAGGCGACGAUCAGUAGCUGGUCUGAGAGGACGACCAGCCACACUGGGACUGAGACACGGCCCAGACUCCUACGGGAGGCAGCAGUGAGGAAUUUUCCGCAAUGGGCGAAAGCCUGACGGAGCAAUACCGCGUGAGGGAGGAAGGUUCUUGGAUUGUAAACCUCUUUUUUCAGAGAAGAAUAAUGACGGUAUCUGAGGAAUAAGCAUCGGCUAACUCCGUGCCAGCAGCCGCGGUAAUACGGAGGAUGCAAGCGUUAUCCGGAAUGAUUGGGCGUAAAGGGUCUGUAGGUGGUUGUUCAAGUCUGCUGUUAAAGCGUCUGGCUUAACCAGAUAAAGGCGGUGGAAACUGAACGACUAGAGUGCGGUAGGGGUAGAGGGAAUU
This 603-nucleotide ribosomal RNA is filed under the name uncultured bacterium. RNAcentral's name for it is "bacterial SSU rRNA". It matches the Rfam family "Bacterial small subunit ribosomal RNA", at positions 24 to 668 of the family's 1533-position model. The record is from RNAcentral.